This 1127-nucleotide ribosomal RNA is filed under the name Oxyrrhis marina. Its description in RNAcentral is "partial Bacterial large subunit ribosomal RNA". It matches the Rfam family "Bacterial large subunit ribosomal RNA", at positions 723 to 1866 of the family's 2925-position model. Lineage: Eukaryota; Dinophyceae; Oxyrrhinales; Oxyrrhinaceae. The record is from RNAcentral.
GAGUGAUCUAGCCAUGAGCAGGUUGAAGGUGCGGUAACACGUACUGGAGGACCGAACCCACUUAUGUUGAAAAAUGAGGGGAUGACCUGUGACUAGGGGUGAAAGGCCAAUCAAACUCGGAAAUAGCUCGUACUCCCCGAAAUGCAUUUAGGUGCAGCGUUGUGUUAGUUUUAUAGAGGUAGAGCUACUGAUUGGAUGCGGGGGCUUCACCGCCUACCAAUUCCUGACAAACUCCGAAUGCUAUAAAAUGAUGCACAGCAGUGAGGGCAUGGGUGCUAAGGUCCAUGUCCGAGAGGGAAAGAACCCAGACCAUCAGCUAAGGUCCCAAAAUAUAUGUUAAGUUGAAUAAACGAGGUUGGAUUGCACAGACAGCUAGGAUGUUGGCUUGGAAGCAGCCAUUCAUUUAAAGAGUGCGUAACAGCUCACUGGUCGAGCGGUCCCGCAUGGAUAAUGAUCGGGCAUAAGCACAUUACCGAAGCUAUGGCAUCGAAAGAUGGGUAGGGGAGCAUUCUGUUCGGCGCCGAAGGUGCACUGUGAGGUGUGCUGGAGCGUACAGAAACGAAAAUGUAGGCAUAAGUAACGAUAAUGCGGGCGAGAAACCCGCACACCGAUAGACUAAGGUUUCCCCGGCAAUGCUAAUCAGCCGGGGGUUAGUCGGGACCUAAGGCGAACCCGAAGGGGGUAGUCGAUGGACAAUGGUUUAAUAUUACCAUACUACCAUUAACAGUGAUGGGGUGACGGAGCAGUGAAAGUCCUGCGUACUGACGGAAUAGUACGUUGAAGGGUGUAGAUAUUGGGACUGUAGGCAAAUCCGCAGACCUAGUCGAACCUGAUAGUACCACAAAGCUUCGGCUGCGUGGAUAGUGUUCCUAAGCGCUUCCAAGAAAAACCUCUAAGCUUCAGGUUAUACCAACUCGUACCGCAAACCAACACAGGUAGUCAAGUAGAGAAUACUGAGGUGCUCGAGUGAUUCAUGGCUAAGGAACUAGGCAAAAUGGUCUCGUAACUUCGGGAGAAGAGACGCCAACUUCGGUUGGCCGCAGUGAAUAGGCCCAGGCGACUGUUUAUCAAAAACACAGGGCUUUGCUAAAUUGAAAGAUGAUGUAUAAGGCCUGACACCUGCCCGG